GCUCCCGUCGUUCAAUGGAUAGGACACUCCCCUGCGAAGGGAGAAAUGCAGGUUCGACUCCUGCCGGGAGCA
This 72-nucleotide transfer RNA is filed under the name Candidatus Vogelbacteria bacterium CG10_big_fil_rev_8_21_14_0_10_51_16. RNAcentral describes it as "tRNA-Arg". It matches the Rfam family "tRNA". Rfam says of the family: Transfer RNA (tRNA) molecules are approximately 80 nucleotides in length. Their secondary structure includes four short double-helical elements and three loops (D, anti-codon, and T loops). Lineage: Bacteria; Candidatus Vogeliibacteriota. The record is from RNAcentral.